CCUUUGACGUUAGCGGCGGACGGGUGAGUAACACGUGGGUAACCUACCUAUAAGACUGGGAUAACUUCGGGAAACCGGAGCUAAUACCGGAUAAUAUUUAGAACCGCAUGGUUCGAUAGUGAAAGAUGGUUUUGCUAUCACUUAUAGAUGGACCCGCGCCGUAUUAGCUAGUUGGUAAGGUAACGGCUUACCAAGGCGACGAUACGUAGCCGACCUGAGAGGGUGAUCGGCCACACUGGAACUGAGACACGGUCCAGACUCCUACGGGAGGCAGCAGCC
Molecule: ribosomal RNA, 279 nt
Filed under: uncultured Staphylococcus sp.
Lineage: Bacteria; Bacillati; Bacillota; Bacilli; Caryophanales; Staphylococcaceae
Description: partial 16S ribosomal RNA
Rfam family: Bacterial small subunit ribosomal RNA
Source: RNAcentral